Molecule: long non-coding RNA, 1136 nt
Filed under: Gossypium raimondii (Peruvian cotton)
Lineage: Eukaryota; Viridiplantae; Streptophyta; Magnoliopsida; Malvales; Malvaceae
Description: long non-coding RNA (GRAI_LNC003433)
Source: RNAcentral
UUAUGGUUAAGUAAAUUAAAAAAACUAAUUUAAAAUCUAACACGAAAUGAAAGGAAAAAGAAUUCAAGACAUUAUGGUAUAAUCAAGGUUGUAGUUACAGUUUCCAGCAUUUCAAUGAAACACUGCUGCUUUACAAAAAAAAAAAAAAAAUGAAGAACCUGGCUUUGCUCGUUGCUGCCAUUAUUUCUCCAUGGAAAUUGUAGAGGAUGGGUUGGCUCGUUCGAGAGAAGUUUUCGAAGUGUCGUUCAUUGGGCAGUUAGUCGAGUCCCUAACAGCUGAAGGUAGGUUGAUCAAUAAUUAUUCACGCGCAAUAUUAAUAUCUCUCCUGAGUCUUGCAGGUAUACCAAUCAAGGCAUUCCUCUCCGUGAACUGGACACGGUUUUUCGCGGAGGCUGGAGACAAAACUUGAUACAAGGAUAAUACUUUCAGUUGUUAGAGGUUUGGUUGGUUGUCUAGUGGAUUAUAUGCUCAAUAAUUAUUCAUGCGCAUAAUACGAGUCUUGCAUGUAACAAUCAACUGAGGCGCCCCCUUCGUGUAUCUUAUAUAGCUCUCCAUGGGAUUGGGGACAAAACCUUAACAUGGGGACACUUCGAUUGUUGGGGUUCAGUCAGCUGUCAGGUGGACGACAAUUUGAAAAUUUCUCCCAAAGGAGCCGACCCUCAACAGAAACAACACCAGCAAACUUCAUAACGUCAAUGGGAAAGGUCGGCGGCGAACGAAAGAGGCGCCGGCUGCGUUGAUUUCUUUGACGGUGCAAAGGCCCGCGCCGCCAGGGAUGUUGGUGCAAGGCGAACCAGCAGAUGGUGGAACGGGCCCCCUCGGCAAGGACUCAAAAUUAGGCACCAUUUUCUUGAAUAAUUGCUCCGUUAAUCCCCGAGGCCUUAUUGCAGCACCAAAUUCUGCAGUAAACGAAAGGAACAGGAUGGUAAAUACAAGUACUGCUGCUGAUCUUCUUCCUUUCAGGAACCCCAUUUUCAAUAAUUCAAGCAGAAUUUGUUUGGGGUUUGUAUGUUUGCUUUGGGGUUGGUGUAUACAUACAUAUAUAUAGUUGCAGAAUUAUGGAAGUUAAAUAAGUCAAAUUCACUAUUUGACUUUGGCGGCGUUUGAUUAACGAUAUAUAUUAAUGGAUUCUUCUC